RNAcentral lists this ribosomal RNA (982 nucleotides) under Massilia sp. YIM B02763. RNAcentral's name for it is "partial 23S ribosomal RNA". It matches the Rfam family "Bacterial large subunit ribosomal RNA", at positions 1948 to 2925 of the family's 2925-position model. Lineage: Bacteria; Pseudomonadati; Pseudomonadota; Betaproteobacteria; Burkholderiales; Oxalobacteraceae. The record is from RNAcentral.
GUCCUAAGGUAGCGAAAUUCCUUGUCGGGUAAGUUCCGACCUGCACGAAUGGCGUAACGAUGGCCACACUGUCUCCUCCCGAGACUCAGCGAAGUUGAAAUGUUUGUGAUGAUGCAAUCUACCCGCGGCUAGACGGAAAGACCCCAUGAACCUUUACUGUAGCUUUGCAUUGGACUUUGAAUCAAUCUGUGUAGGAUAGGUGGGAGGCUUUGAAGCGGGGACGCCAGUUCUCGUGGAGCCAUCCUUGAAAUACCACCCUGGUUCAUUUGAGGUUCUAACCUUGGCCCGUUAUCCGGGUCGGGGACAGUGCAUGGUAGGCAGUUUGACUGGGGCGGUCUCCUCCUAAAGUGUAACGGAGGAGUUCGAAGGUACGCUAGGUACGGUCGGACAUCGUGCUAAUAGUGCAAUGGCAUAAGCGUGCUUAACUGCGAGACCGACAAGUCGAGCAGGUACGAAAGUAGGACAUAGUGAUCCGGUGGUUCUGUAUGGAAGGGCCAUCGCUCAACGGAUAAAAGGUACUCUGGGGAUAACAGGCUGAUUCCUCCCAAGAGUUCAUAUCGACGGGGGAGUUUGGCACCUCGAUGUCGGCUCAUCACAUCCUGGGGCUGUAGCCGGUCCCAAGGGUAUGGCUGUUCGCCAUUUAAAGUGGUACGUGAGCUGGGUUUAAAACGUCGUGAGACAGUUUGGUCCCUAUCUGCCGUGGGCGUUGGAAAUUUGAAGGGGGCUGCUCCUAGUACGAGAGGACCGGAGUGGACGAACCUCUGGUGUACCGGUUGUCACGCCAGUGGCAUUGCCGGGUAGCUAAGUUCGGAAGAGAUAACCGCUGAAAGCAUCUAAGCGGGAAACUCGCCUUGAGAUGAGAUUUCCCGGAGCCUUGAGCUCCUUGAAGGGUCGUUCGAGACCAGGACGUUGAUAGGUCGGGUGUGGAAGUGCAGUAAUGCAUUAAGCUAACCGAUACUAAUUGCCCGUACGGCUUGUCCCU